GACAGAGGGUGCAAACGUUGCUCGGAAUCACUGGGCAUAAAGCGCACGUAGGCGGUCCGCUAAGUCUGAUGUGAAAUCCCUCGGCUCAACCGGGGAACUGCAUUGGAUACUGGCGGGCUUGAGAGUUGUAGGGGUGGACGGAACUCCAGGUGGAGCGGUGAAAUGCGUAGAUAUCUGGAGGAACACCGGAGGCGAAAGCGGUCCACUGGGCAACUUCUGACGCUGAGGUGCGAAAGCUAGGGUAGCAAACGGGAUUAGAAACCCCCGUAGUCC
This 273-nucleotide ribosomal RNA is filed under the name uncultured bacterium. Its description in RNAcentral is "partial 16S ribosomal RNA". It matches the Rfam family "Bacterial small subunit ribosomal RNA", at positions 524 to 796 of the family's 1533-position model. The record is from RNAcentral.